Molecule: long non-coding RNA, 463 nt
Organism: Equus quagga
Lineage: Eukaryota; Metazoa; Chordata; Mammalia; Perissodactyla; Equidae
Exons: 3
Source: RefSeq, a predicted model, not a curated record
GUUGGAGCCAUGUUGGGUUCCAGAUCAACUGAUUCCUAAUCCAGGAAUAAAGAAAUCAAUGGAUUCUUAGAAUUGGAAGAGACCUCAAAUUCCAAUCUCCUGCCCGGAGCAGGAAUCCCCUGCCAGGGUUGCGGGGCCGUGCCAGGCACACAGAAAGAAACAGGGAGCGGCAGCUGUGGCAUGAUUUGAGGAGCCGGGAGAAGCAGAUGACUCUUGACAGGCCUGCUGAGGAAUUCUCUCUUCUCAUGCCUAGCACUGUUAGGGGGUGUGUGGAGAUGAAAAAGCACAGGAUGCAGAAUCAGAAGACCCUGUUUAAGACCUGGUUUCCUCGCUCACCUGCUGUGCUGCUGUUGAAAAAGACACCUAGUUCCUCUGAAUCCCUCCUCGUAGGGAAAAUGUCUCCGUAAAUAUAAAUAAAAUAAAGUUUUCCCAUUUAAAAAUGGGGAUGAUAAUAAAUGCUUAA